Long non-coding RNA from Carassius gibelio (silver crucian carp), 3030 nucleotides. RefSeq lists it as uncharacterized. NCBI's taxonomy places the organism in Eukaryota, Metazoa, Chordata, Actinopteri, Cypriniformes, Cyprinidae. The transcript is spliced from 5 exons. The record is from RefSeq and is a predicted model, not a curated record.
GGCCGUCGGGCAACUCGUAGCUCUUCUCCAGGGAAGAGGAAGAGGCGGCAGUGGCCAUCUCAUUCUCAAAGUCCAGAGCCACAUAGCACAGCUUCUCCUUGAUGUCACGGACAAUCUCACGCUCAGCUAUAAACAGAGUUUUAAUGCAGGGAGACGUGUGGCUGCUCUGCAUACUUUACUCAAAAGAGGCCCGUCUGUGCAAGCAGAUAUCCUGCCAUAGCUGGCCCUUGAGCUUAUGUUGAGCCGAGUGGCAGUCACUGAGGGAAGGCCUGCUUCUCCAUCAGCUUGCGGAAGAGCCCCUGGUCGUUGGCAAGGAGCUUGGCGUGGCUGCCGAUCUCCAUCACACGGUGCUGGUCCAGCACGGCCACGGCAUCAGCGCUUUGGAUGGUAGAGAGACGCUUCAGUUCUCACCUGAAUCAGGAUCAUAGAGCCGGAGCAACAGUGACACAAGUGUGGAUUUGCCUGAACCACUGGAUCCCACUACUGCCAUUACUGACCCCGCUGGCACAUACAGAUUCAGAUUUUGGAAGAUGGGUGAAUCCUUCCUCGUCGGACUACAAAAAUUAUAAAGCAUGCCUUGGGACCACAGACUGUAAAAAAAGAGCGACGAUGCAGCUCCAAUUCCUUCCACUAUAGAAAAGUGUCAUCAACUGUGAUCUUGCGAAAAUAACGUCUUUUGGAGGCAGAGGCUGUGCAGAAGUGAUCGUGAGGUGGAGCCGUCAUAUCAAAGUCCCGCCCAAGCUCCCGCAGACCCAAUAGUAAGAUCACAAUCGUGACACCACACCCCACUUAAGAGAUGAUAAGAACUACCUAAAAUUAUCGAAACCAUCUUUGGAAAAAAUUUACUUGUUUUUUGCUUUAGUUCUACAGUGUUUGCUCAUUUAAAACUUUGUGUAAUUUAUUAGUCAUUAUAAAAAUAAAGCAUGCAAUAAGCAAGUUUAUAUAAUGGUAUGACACAUGAAAAUUUUAGGAUUCUUUGAUAAAUAGAAAGUUUAAAAGACAGCAUUUAUUUGAAAAAGAAACCUUUUUAACAGUAUAAAUGUGUUUGGUGUAGUGCUGUCAAAAGAUUAAUCGCGAUUAAUUGCAUCCCCAAAAACUUUUCUGAAAUAUAUAAAUGCAAGUGUGUGUAUUUAUAUAUACAUAAAAAAUAUGCACAACACACACACAUAUAUUACGUGACAAAAACUUUUAUUUCGGAUGCGAUUAAUCGCGAUAGUGUAUAUUCAGUUUCUCUGUGCUAACAUCCUCACCUGCGAUGCUGAUGCCCACCCAGAAGGCAUACAUGAGGAAAGAGGAGAGCUGCCCAAUGGUCAUGGCCUCACUGGCCAUCAGCAGACCUCCCUUAUACAACACACUCAGGAUGAUGACAUUUCCACUCAGUCCUGUCUGUGAAAGAAAUGAAAACAUCAGAGCAUACGGUACUAGACAAAUAAUCUUAACCUGACUUUCUGAUUCUGAAAAUGAUUACCUUUAAUCAUGCAUACAACUUUUUAUUUCAUAUUUGUACAACAGUUAAGUAUCUCACCACUCCAUAGAAUCCAGCAGAAAGCACAGCCUCUUUCUUAGCCAGUUCAAAAAUAUAGUCAACCUUUUCCGAGUACUUCUGCACCUCCGUCAGCUCUUUUCCAAAAGCCCGGACUGUCCGUAUGUUGCUGAUCCUCUCUUCUGCCAACUAGGAGAUGCAGAGUAGCUACACAGUAAAAUUAUCCCUUGGAUACUUGAUGUCUUUAUGCUAACAAUAGAGCAAUUAAUUCAGCAAUCAAAUGAUAACUGUCCAAGGCUUACUACCAUAUCUAUGCUUUUUAUUGCACAGCAAUAAAACGUGCAAUAAAGCCCCAAUAUAAGGAAACAUGACCUCUUACCUGUGUAGCCUCUGCCAACGCAUCCUGUGUGCGCCUUGAUAUGGAUCGUAAAAAUUUACCAAAAAUUACAGCCAGGCAGGCAAUAGGAGGAACAACCAUCAGCACAAAAGCUGCCAGACUAGGUGAAACAUACAACUGAGGAAGAGAAAGAUAAAGUACAAAUAUUGAAUUAGUCAGUGAUUAAUGUAGAUGCAUUCUGAACUUCAAACAUGAGACAUAUACUGUAAGGUUCCAUGAGGAAUUAUUAAAAGAAAUCAAAGUGCAUCAACAUAAGAAUCACUGUUUUGCUGUUUAUUCUGUUUUUAAAAACACAUCAGGAAGUAAUAAGAUUUAAGAAAGUCAAAAUGGUUAAAAUUUGAUAUUGGCAGGAAUUAGCUGCUGAAAAGUGAAGUGUAUGUCAAACUAACAUAAGCAUCUCACCAUCAUGCCAACUCCGGCCCCUGCCUGGGCAAGGGAACGCAGCCCAUCAGAAAGGUUGUCAGUGAGGCAGCGGCCGACGAUGGUGGUGUCUGCCGAAAGGCGGUUAAUGAGCUCACCAGUUCGGGUCUUAUCAAAGAAACCCACCUCCUGCUUCAGAAUCGAGGAGAAAAGGGAUUCACGCAACUUUCGCACAAUCUCUUGCCCUGUGAAAGUCGAGAAAUGCUUUUAGACAGCAAGCAUAGAAAUGCAUGCUGGUCAACACAAUGAAUCUGAUGAAAUGAUUUUAAUUUAUUGAUUUAAUAAGACUGAACUAGACCCAGGUUUUACAAAACAAAUAAAUUCAAUCAGUAAAUAAAUAUGGUACUAUUCAAAAGCUUGGGGUUGAUAAAAACAUUUGGGAUUUUUUUGAAUGAAGAUUCUUAUGCUAACCAGACUUCAUUUAUUUGAUUAAUAAAUACAGUAAAAUAGUAAUAUUUUUAAAUAUUAUUACAAUUUAAAAUAACUAUUUUCCAUUUAAAAUGUUAAAUUCCAGUGUUAUUUAAAAUUUAAUUUAAUCCUGUCUUGGCAAAGAUCACAUGAUCCUUCAGAAAUCAUUCUAAUAUGCUGAUUUCAAAAAACAUUUCUUAUUAUUAUCAGUGCUGAAAAGAGUUGCUUAAUAUUUUUGUGGAAACUGUGAUACAUUUUUUUUCAGGAUUCUGAAGAAAGAACAGCAUUUAUUUGAAAUAAAAAUAUUUUGUAACAUCAUAAA